RNAcentral lists this ribosomal RNA (409 nucleotides) under uncultured Desulfobulbus sp. RNAcentral describes it as "bacterial SSU rRNA". It matches the Rfam family "Bacterial small subunit ribosomal RNA", at positions 977 to 1382 of the family's 1533-position model. The record is from RNAcentral. Lineage: Bacteria; Pseudomonadati; Thermodesulfobacteriota; Desulfobulbia; Desulfobulbales; Desulfobulbaceae.
GGUCUUGACAUCCCGGAGACCUUACGGAGACUAGGGGUGCUCCAUCUGGAAGAAUCUGGAGACAGGUGCUGCAUGGCUGUCGUCAGCUCGUGUCGUGAGAUGUUGGGUUAAGUCCCGCAACGAGCGCAACCCUUGCCUUUAGUUGCCAGCAGUUCGGCUGGGCACUCUAAAGGGACUGCCGGUGUUAAACCGGAGGAAGGUGGGGAUGACGUCAAGUCCUCAUGGCCUUUAUGACCAGGGCUACACACGUACUACAAUGGCCGAUACAAAGGGCAGCGACACUGCGAGGUGAAGCCAAUCCCGUAAAAUCGGUCUCAGUCCGGAUUGGAGUCUGCAACUCGACUCCAUGAAGUUGGAAUCGCUAGUAAUCGUGGAUCAGCAUGCCACGGUGAAUACGUUCCCGGGCCUU